This 79-nucleotide transfer RNA is filed under the name compost metagenome. RNAcentral's name for it is "tRNA-Pro". It matches the Rfam family "tRNA". Rfam says of the family: Transfer RNA (tRNA) molecules are approximately 80 nucleotides in length. Their secondary structure includes four short double-helical elements and three loops (D, anti-codon, and T loops). Further hydrogen bonds mediate the characteristic L-shaped molecular structure. tRNAs have two regions of fundamental functional importance: the anti-codon, which is responsible for specific mRNA codon recognition, and the 3' end, to which the tRNAs corresponding amino acid is attached (by aminoacyl-tRNA synthetases). tRNAs cope with the degeneracy of the genetic code in two manners: having more than one tRNA (with a specific anti-codon) for a particular amino acid; and 'wobble' base-pairing, i.e. permitting non-standard base-pairing at the 3rd anti-codon position. The record is from RNAcentral.
ACAGACGUAGAGGAGUUUGGCUUAUCUCGCUUCCCUUGGAAGGAAGAGCACGCUGGUUCAAAUCCAGCCGUUUGUACCA